GGUUCGAAGGCGAUCAGAUACCGCCCUAGUUCUGACCGUAAACGAUGCCACCUGACGAUCCGCCAGGGUUACUACCAUGACUCGGCGGGCAGUCCCCGGGAAACCCAAGCCUUCGGGUUCCGGGGGAAGUAUGGUUGCAAAGCUGAAACUUAAAGGAAUUGACGGAAGGGCACCACCAGGAGUGGAGCCUGCGGCUUAAUUUGACUCAACACGGGGAACCUCACCCGGCCCGGACACCGCGAGGAUUGACAGAUUGAGAGCUCUUUCUCGAUUCGGUGGGUGGUGGUGCAUGGCCGUUCUUAGUUGGUGGAGCGAUUUGUCUGGUUAAUUCCGAUAACGAACGAGACUCUAGCCGGUUAAGUAGCCCGAGCGGUUUUUGAUCUUUGCCGUUCAUCCCCGUUCGGCCUUUGCGUCGUCCCCUUUUUUUUUCUUUGUUUCGGUCCGUCUCCGUCGUUUUUCCGUUUUCUCUCGUUUCCCGAUCCCUCGCCGUCCCGUCAACUCGUUCGACGGGUGCCGGCGGUUUUCGUGGUCUCGAGGGGGGCGGGGCGGCGGAACGGUCCGUUCGAGGAGGAGGGGGUAUACGCUCGGCCGUUUCGGGGUGAAAGCAUAACCGAAGGCCGCCGGCUUUUAAGGAAGCUUCUUAGAGGGACGAGCGGCGUUCAGCCGCCCGAGAUUG
RNAcentral lists this ribosomal RNA (676 nucleotides) under Peripatopsis balfouri. Its description in RNAcentral is "bacterial SSU rRNA". It matches the Rfam family "Eukaryotic small subunit ribosomal RNA", at positions 995 to 1448 of the family's 1831-position model. Lineage: Eukaryota; Metazoa; Onychophora; Udeonychophora; Euonychophora; Peripatopsidae. The record is from RNAcentral.